CAGCAGCCGCGGGAACACAGAGGGUGCGAGCGUUAAUCGGAUUUACUGGGCGUAAAGCGUGCGUAGGCGGCUUCUUAAGUCGGAUGUGAAAUCCCUGAGCUUAACUUAGGAAUUGCAUUCGAUACUGGGAAGCUAGAGUAUGGGAGAGGAUGGUAGAAUUCCAGGUGUAGCGGUGAAAUGCGUAGAGAUCUGGAGGAAUACCGAUGGCGAAGGCAGCCAUCUGGCCUAAUACUGACGCUGAGGUACGAAAGCAUGGGGAGCAAACAGGAUUAGAUACCCGGGUAGUCCCUGUCUCUUAUAC
Molecule: ribosomal RNA, 301 nt
Filed under: uncultured bacterium
Lineage: Bacteria
Description: partial 16S ribosomal RNA
Rfam family: Bacterial small subunit ribosomal RNA
Source: RNAcentral